CACUAGCUCCAGCACUAAAAUAAAACAAGUAAAAUUACAAUCGACAACAAUCAAUGACAUCUAACAUUAAAAUAAUCAAAACUAAUAUACAUAAUUAAUAUACAAAAGCAAUAACAAAGAUUACAUCUAAUCUUCAAUUCAGAUCGAUGUUCAUCUGAAACUCCAAACAAUAACAGAAACAGAAAGUUAUCUAUAUCACAAACCCAAAAAUAAUCCAUAUCAGUUCAUAUUAAGCAAAUCAGAAGAAAGCAACACAUUCAAACCUAUAAAUACCAACAAUCACAAAUCCAGAUAUAAUGUGUAAAGGGUAGACAAACAAGACACAAGCUUUACUGCAUCACCAGAAUUUAAGCUUUAAAUCCACACAAACAAAUUGCAUCAACGGAUCAAAUAGGCAUAGAUGUACACAUAAAGUGAUCUAUGAUAUACAUAUAUUGACGUUUUGGCAGCUAAGAAAAUACAUGGAAUUCGAAAAGAAUACCCAGCUAAAAUAUCUAUUUUUGCUUACAGUUCCGAGAGAUAGUUAAGAAAUAGAAUCUCAAAUCUAAAUAGAACCAAAUACAACUAUUCAGCUCAUCUGAACUGAGCCUUAAUUUUUCAUGGAGAAACUAAAAACCAAAGUUGAAGAAAAAUCUAAGCUUUCAUAUGUUUUUUGUAUGAGUUAAUUCAUUUUCUUAUCAAAUACAGAUCAAAAAGAGAAAUUCCUCACCAGUUGACGCAAACUUCAGCGAAACAGAUUGAUUGACACUUUAAACACAAAGAUAUAACAGAUUGUUUGAAUGUGAAUGUUUAGGGAAAAAGGGGUUUUUCCCAUUGAGGUCCUAACUUUUACUGUUACACAACUAAAUUUUAAAAAUAAAUUAAUUAAAAUUUAUAAAUUAGACCAUUUCGUGAAAUUAAUUGAACGAUUAUUUAAUAUUUUUUUACAUAUAUGUACACAUAAAAAAAAUUAAAACAUUUUUUAUGUGGGAAAAAAAAAAUACUUACAAAAUAGAAGAACAAUACUUUUGAUUUUCUUCUCUUUGGUAUUGGGGUUCUUCUUAUAUGUUGUAGCUCUUCUCCUUCAUCUUAGAUCCUCUUCAUUUGGAUUUAUCUUUCAUAUUGGGUUUAUUUUUUUUCCUCUCGGUUGAAUUCUUUUUCUUGUUAUUUGACUUAAACAUUGUUCUUUUAUCUUCUUUUGUUUUCCAUCUUUUUUUCAUAAAUAUAUCUAUAUUAAUAGGUGUUUAUUUAUAAAUAGCUUAUGAAUUUGCGAUUAAGGCUUUACUAGAAGUCCUAAUUUUAUCAUAGUUGAGGAAGUACAUAAUGGUGAUUGGGAGCAAUUUUUAGGUUUUUC
Molecule: long non-coding RNA, 1333 nt
Filed under: Panax ginseng (ginseng)
Lineage: Eukaryota; Viridiplantae; Streptophyta; Magnoliopsida; Apiales; Araliaceae
Description: long non-coding RNA (PGIN_LNC017791)
Source: RNAcentral